This 793-nucleotide ribosomal RNA is filed under the name uncultured bacterium. RNAcentral's name for it is "bacterial SSU rRNA". It matches the Rfam family "Bacterial small subunit ribosomal RNA", at positions 8 to 802 of the family's 1533-position model. The record is from RNAcentral.
AGAGUUUGAUUCUGGCUCAGGAUGAACGCUGGCGGCGUGCUUAACACAUGCAAGUCGAGCGAAGCAGUUAAGAAGAUUCUUCGGAUGAAACUUGAUUGACUGAGCGGCGGACGGGUGAGUAACGCGUGGGUGACCUGCCCCAUACCGGGGGAUAACAGCUGGAAACGGCUGCUAAUACCGCAUAAGCGCACAGAGCUGCAUGGCUCGGUGUGAAAAACUCCGGUGGUAUGGGAUGGGCCCGCGUCUGAUUAGGCAGUUGGCGGGGUAACGGCCCACCAAACCGACGAUCAGUAGCCGGCCUGAGAGGGCGACCGGCCACAUUGGGACUGAGACACGGCCCAAACUCCUACGGGAGGCAGCAGUGGGGAAUAUUGCACAAUGGGGGAAACCCUGAUGCAGCGACGCCGCGUGAGCGAAGAAGUAUUUCGGUAUGUAAAGCUCUAUCAGCAGGGAAGAUAAUGACGGUACCUGACUAAGAAGCCCCGGCUAACUACGUGCCAGCAGCCGCGGUAAUACGUAGGGGGCAAGCGUUAUCCGGAUUUACUGGGUGUAAAGGGAGCGUAGACGGCAAGGCAAGUCUGAUGUGAAAACCCAGGGCUUAACCCUGGGACUGCAUUGGAAACUGUCUGGCUCGAGUGCCGGAGAGGUAAGCGGAAUUCUCUAGUGUAGCGGUGAAAUGCGUAGAUAUUAGGAAGAACACCAGUGGCGAAGGCGGCUUACUGGACGGUAACUGACGUUGAGGCUCGAAAGCGUGGGGAGCAAACAGGAUUAGAUACCCUGGUAGUCCACGCCG